CGAUCUGUAGCGGGUCUGAGAGGAUGAUCCGCCACACUGGGACUGAGACACGGCCCAGACUCCUACGGGAGGCAGCAGUGGGGAAUAUUGGACAAUGGGCGAAAGCCUGAUCCAGCCAUGCCGCGUGUGUGAAGAAGGCCUUUUGGUUGUAAAGCACUUUAAGCGAGGAGGAGGCUACUUAGAUUAAUACUCUAGGAUAGUGGACGUUACUCGCAGAAUAAGCACCGGCUAACUCUGUGCCAGCAGCCGCGGUAAUACAGAGGGUGCGAGCGUUAAUCGGAUUUACUGGGCGUAAAGCGUGCGUAGGCGGCUUUUUAAGUCGGAUGUGUAAUCCCUGAGCUUAACUUAGGAAUUGCAUUCGAUACUGGGAAGCUAGAGUAUGGGAGAGGAUGGUAGAAUUCCAGGUGUAGCGGUGAAAUGCGUAGAGAUCUGGAGGAAUACCGAUGGCGAAGGCAGCCAUCUGGCCUAAUACUGACGCUGAGGUACGAAAGCAUGGGGAGCAAACAGGAUUAGAUACCCUGGUAGUCCAUGCCGUAAACGAUGUCUACUAGCCGUUGGGGCCUUUGAGGCUUUAGUGGCGCAGCUAACGCGAUAAGUAGACCGCCUGGGGAGUACGGUCGCAAGACUAAAACUCAAAGGAAUUGACGG
RNAcentral lists this ribosomal RNA (648 nucleotides) under uncultured bacterium. Its description in RNAcentral is "bacterial SSU rRNA". It matches the Rfam family "Bacterial small subunit ribosomal RNA", at positions 277 to 916 of the family's 1533-position model. The record is from RNAcentral.